AAUCUUUAUUGGCGUCCCGCGUGAACCAGUUCAGUGUCGUUCUCGCCAGAGGCCACCAGAGUGCGCAAGAGACCGCGGGGGUGGAAAAGGCCACUCGCCAGAGAUUGCGCGCGGAAGUGGACCUCCUUUCUCGCAACGGGGUAGCGGCUCCGGGAUCCCCCCAGAACUGCUAGUCGUGUGAAGCCGUGGGAGUGGGGAAGGCUGACUUCCAUCUUAACGGCUUACUCUGGAACAUAAUGUUGAGUGAAGGCUGUCAGGAGACAAAAAGAUUGUUAUCGUGCAAGGUCCAGACACCUAACAUGACCUCAUUCGUGUUGGCUGCUGAGAUGGGUGUGUUCCUCAUGAUUCCUGGUGACAUUAAUGGAAAGUUAAAGCCAUACUUGCACUAGCCAAGUAGAAUCCUACUGUCUGCUGGAAAGCAGCUGUGGAAAAAAAAAAAAAUCAUUCACUUGUAGGACACAAGUGUGGACCACAGUAUGAGCGACUUUUACUGGUGUAGUAGGUUGAAUGGUGGCUGCCAAAAAGAUGUGUCCAAGUCCUAACUCCUGGUACCUAUGAAUAUCACCUUGUUGAAAAUAAGGCCUUUGCGGCCGAGCGCGGUGACUCACGCCUAUAAUCCCAGCACUCUGGGAGGCCGAGGCAGGCAGAUCAUCUGCUUGGGAGUGUGAGACCAGCCUGACCAACAUGGAGAAACCCCAUCUCUACUAAAAAUACAAAAU
Macaca mulatta (Rhesus monkey) is the source of this 719-nucleotide long non-coding RNA. RefSeq lists it as uncharacterized. Lineage: Eukaryota; Metazoa; Chordata; Mammalia; Primates; Cercopithecidae. The record is from RefSeq and is a predicted model, not a curated record.